This 789-nucleotide ribosomal RNA is filed under the name uncultured bacterium. RNAcentral's name for it is "bacterial SSU rRNA". It matches the Rfam family "Bacterial small subunit ribosomal RNA", at positions 8 to 796 of the family's 1533-position model. The record is from RNAcentral.
AGAGUUUGAUCAUGGCUCAGAUUGAACGCUGGCGGCGUGCCUAACACAUGCAAGUCGAGCGGCAGNNNNNGGCAACCUGGCGGCGAGCGGCGGACGGGUGAGUAACGCUUGAGAAUCUGCCUAUUAGUGGGGGACAACCCGGGGAAACUCGGGCUAAUACCGCAUACGCACUACGGUGGAAAGCCGGGGACCGCAAGGCCUGGCGCUAAUAGAUGAGCUCAAGUCGGAUUAGCUAGUUGGUAGGGUAACGGCCUACCAAGGCGACGAUCCGUAGCUGGUCUGAGAGGACGACCAGCCACACCGGAACUGAGACACGGUCCGGACUCCUACGGGAGGCAGCAGUGGGGAAUAUUGGACAAUGGGCGAAAGCCUGAUCCAGCGACGCCGCGUGGGUGAAGAAGGCCUGCGGGUUGUAAAGCCCUUUCGGUGGGGAAGAAAUGCUUCGAGUUAAUACCUCGGGGCUUUGACGUAACCCACAGAAGAAGCACCGGCUAACUCUGUGCCAGCAGCCGCGGUAAUACAGAGGGUGCGAGCGUUAAUCGGAAUUACUGGGCGUAAAGCGCGCGUAGGCGGCUUUGCAAGCCGGAUGUGAAAUCCCCGGGCUUAACCUGGGAACUGCAUUCGGGACUGCAUUGCUAGAGUAUGGGAGAGGGAAGUGGAAUUUCAGGUAGCGGUGAAAUGCGUAGAUAUCUGAAGGAACAUCAGUGGCGAAAGCGACUUCCUGGACCAAUACUGACGCUCAUGUGCGAAAGCGUGGGGAGCAAACAGGAUUAGAUACCCUAGUAGUCC